RNAcentral lists this ribosomal RNA (492 nucleotides) under uncultured bacterium. RNAcentral describes it as "partial 16S ribosomal RNA". It matches the Rfam family "Bacterial small subunit ribosomal RNA", at positions 29 to 507 of the family's 1533-position model. The record is from RNAcentral.
AGUGAACGCUGGCGGUAGGCCUAACACAUGCAAGUCGAACGGCAGCACAGUAAGAGCUUGCUCUUACGGGUGGCGAGUGGCGGACGGGUGAGGAAUACAUCGGAAUCUACUUUUUCGUGGGGGAUAACGUAGGGAAACUUACGCUAAUACCGCAUACGACCUACGGGUGAAAGCAGGGGAUCUUCGGACCUUGCGCGAUUGAAUGAGCCGAUGUCGGAUUAGCUAGUUGGCGGGGUAAAGGCCCACCAAGGCGACGAUCCGUAGCUGGUCUGAGAGGAUGAUCAGCCACACUGGAACUGAGACACGGUCCAGACUCCUACGGGAGGCAGCAGUGGGGAAUAUUGGACAAUGGGCGAAAGCCUGAUCCAGCCAUACCGCGUGAGUGAAGAAGGCCUUCGGGUUGUAAAGCCCUUUUGUUGGGAAAGAAAAGCAGCAGGUUAAUCCCCCGCUGUUCUGACGGUACCCAAAGAAUAAGCACCGGCUAACUUCGUG